UGAAAAUAUGUAAGCCUAAAUUAUUAGUAGUUAAGUUCUUGAAAAUUAAUGAAGAUGGCGGUGUUUUAGUCUAUUCAGAGGAAUCUGCCCUGUAAUUGAUAUUCCACGAUUUAAAUUACUUAGAGUUUUAGCUUACAUAUCGCUGUAGGUUGAAUAUUUUUGUUGAAUUUUAAUAUUCAUGAUUUUUAAUGAAAGGAAAUCAAGUCAAGAUGUAGCUUAUAUCUAAGCAGAGGUGGAUUACAUUAUUUGUAUAUGUGGUUAGUUUCUUGAAAAGGUUUCUAUAAAAUGGAUUUGAAGGUAAUUUUUUACUAAAAUUUGAAAAAUGAUUUUAGCUCUAAAAU
RNAcentral lists this ribosomal RNA (341 nucleotides) under Xyleborus perforans. RNAcentral's name for it is "partial 12S ribosomal RNA". Lineage: Eukaryota; Metazoa; Arthropoda; Insecta; Coleoptera; Curculionidae. The record is from RNAcentral.